GUGCUCACUUCAGCAGCACAGAUACUAAAAUUAGAAUGAUACAGAGAAGAUUAGCAUGGCCCCUGCACAAGGAUGAUACACAUCAUGAAGCAUUCCAUAUUUAA
Molecule: small nuclear RNA, 104 nt
Organism: Suncus etruscus (white-toothed pygmy shrew)
Lineage: Eukaryota; Metazoa; Chordata; Mammalia; Eulipotyphla; Soricidae
Source: RefSeq, a predicted model, not a curated record